CCUACGGGGCGCAGCAGUGGGGGAUAUUGCACAAUGGGGGAAACCCUGAUGCAGCGACGCCGCGUGUGGGAAGACGGUCUUCUGGAUUGUAAACCACUGUCCCCAGGGACGAAAAUGACGGUACCUGGGGAGGAAGCUCCGGCUAACUACGUGCCAGCAGCCGCGGUAAUACGUAGGGAGCAAGCGUUGUCCGGAAUUACUGGGUGUAAAGGGAGCGUAGGCGGGGAUGCAAGUUGGGUGUCAAAACUACCGGCUCAACCGAUAGUCGCACUCAAAACUGCAACUCUUGAGUGAAGUAGAGGCAGGCGGAAUUCCUAGUGUAGCGGUGAAAUGCGUAGAUAUUAGGAGGAACACCAGUGGCGAAGGCGGCCUGCUGGGCUUUUACUGACGCUGAGGCUCGAAAGUGUGGGGAGCAAACAGGAUUAGAUACCCGGGUAGUC
RNAcentral lists this ribosomal RNA (440 nucleotides) under uncultured bacterium. RNAcentral describes it as "partial 16S ribosomal RNA". It matches the Rfam family "Bacterial small subunit ribosomal RNA", at positions 338 to 795 of the family's 1533-position model. The record is from RNAcentral.